AAAAAAAAAGGAAAAAAGAAAAGAAAAAAGGCCAAGGAAAAUAGUCUGGAAAGAACAAAGUAAAUAAAGGAGAAGGAUAAAGAGAAAAAAAAAACAAAGAAAAUAAAUCAACCCAAAGAAGCAAGGAACCCAGUCUAGAAAGAAGAGUAAGUAAGAAACGAAAAAAUCCGAGUAAAAAACAUAGUAAGAAAAGUAAAGAAAGAGUAAACGAGAAGGGUAAACCAAGUAAUUGCAACACAUAAUAACAAUAGGUAAUAAGUUAGUAAACCAAGUAAUUCAAACACAUAUAACCAAACACAUAAAACAGAUAGGCUCAAGUAAAGUGUGAGAAAUGGAACCAAGUAAAA
This 347-nucleotide long non-coding RNA is filed under the name Ananas comosus (pineapple). RNAcentral describes it as "long non-coding RNA (ACOM_LNC009270)". Lineage: Eukaryota; Viridiplantae; Streptophyta; Magnoliopsida; Poales; Bromeliaceae. The record is from RNAcentral.